Molecule: long non-coding RNA, 32322 nt
Filed under: Spirodela polyrhiza (greater duckweed)
Lineage: Eukaryota; Viridiplantae; Streptophyta; Magnoliopsida; Alismatales; Araceae
Description: long non-coding RNA (SPOL_LNC002454)
Source: RNAcentral
UAGGAGUAACCCAUUAUCUUCUGGGUGGCAUUGCCACAACAGGGGCAUUCUUCUUAGCAAGAACUAUUUCAGUAGGAUAAUGGCUAGGAGGAUUUGAAAGGCAUUAUGGCAUUAAGAUUUUCAAGGUUUAGCCAAGGUUUAGCUCAGGACCACACUACUCAUCGUAUUUGGUUGGAACCUGUUCUUUUCAUGACCCCUCUUAGUCUUUUUAAAAAUAAUAUAAAGUUAUCAUUAUUAUUAUUAUUAUAAUCAUAAUAAUGAUGAUAACUUUAUUUUUAUCCAAAGAGCUAAAUAUUUUAGUAAGGCCAUUAAAUACAUGAUAUAACAGCGCAUAGUAAGUAAGAUGCACUCAGCUGCUUAGGAUGAGCUUUGAUACAAAAAAGAAAUAUAGCUAUUAAUUCGAAUAUGAGACACCAACUGUUAAGGAAGCUUCCUCGGAUGAUUGCUUCUAUCGACCGUCCUUCUCUAUGUUGACUGGGGAAGCAUCUUAAUGUGCAACCUUACUUUGCUCAGCUAGUGCUACUCUUUCUUUUGGCCUGAUCUUGUAAAGAAAGGAAGGCUCAUGAAUGACCAAUCCCUGGAGGAACACUGAUUCUGCUUCUGUCUGGUCGUACUAGGUAUUGAAAAUAAGGUCUCACUACUGACUAUGGUAUUUACAUUUCAAUGGUUUCUAGUAUACUUAACAUAUACCUUCCAGCACUCAUAACCCAAUCCAAAAAAUUAUGUUAGGAAGAAUCAUGAUAUAUCGUCAACCAUCAACAACACUACUACACGUUAAAUUGAACCUGACAUAUACUACGAACUGAAUGAAUGAAGAUCACUCAGGAAACAACAGGAAACAUUAUAAUAAUACCUAUUAUUUAUAUAAGCAUGAUGAGACCUAAUUUUAGAACAUGUUUAUCUCACUUUCUUAAAGUUGAACAUAUAAUCAUCAUCCGACCUCCAAAGUUUGCAAUCCAAUUUGUAUUGUCUUCCUAUAAACCUAAUUGACUAGAACAGUUGAAUAAUCUUAUCUAAAUUUCCUCUAGAAGUCCAAUAUUUAUGUCUGGUAUCUCCAACUCGACAUCAUGCUCUGGUAUAGCAAAUAUGAACCUAAUCAAGCAGGGAAUCAUUUCAUUCCGCUAUUGAAACUAAUUUAUUACGAGAUGACCGUUGUGUUUGGGUGAUUAUUAUCAUAUAAAGUUUCUUUAUUUCUGCAUAUCCACGGGAGCCACGUGUCAUAUAGCUUGAAUAGAUUUUGUUUAUUUCUAAAUUCAGUUAUUACGAAAAGAAUUCAUCUCCCUGUUCGGUAAAAAUCUCUCAAUUUUACGUUUUUUUCAUUUCUAUCGUCUCUUGAAAGAUUAAGGGGCCAAAAUAAUGGUAUGCAAAGUAUAUGUCAGUGUCUGUGUCUGGGGCAUCCUUGCUUCUGUUCUUGCAUGAUAUUUGGUUGUAGAACAACAUGGAAAGAGGUAAGCUAGAAUAAAUUUAGUUCUUUUACAAAUCAAUCCAGAAAUAUAGGAAAGGAAAGUAGAAAUUAGUUAUUAGAAUAAUGCAACCAGAUAUUUCAUGUCAACUUGACUUAUAAUGCUACAGAAGAUGAAAAUAUUUUAUUAUAAUAUUAUGUGUUCAUUGAGCCAUCUCAAAAUUAGUAUAUUCAAGAUCGGCACAUAUAUCCAUACUGUGAACCGUUUCAAAGAGUGUGCUACUUACCCUUGCAUACUCUCCACUUUUCUAAAAUACUGAAAUGUCAAGUACUGCGUUUCUUUAAAUUAUUUAAAGUUAUAGUUAUAAGUAUUUUCAUUUAAUAGAACCUUUCCAUCAUGAGAGAUUUCUUUCAAUGAGUCUUCUACUGCUACAGAUGUUUAAAUCCCUUUCAUUGUAGUUCUCAAACAGAAUUAUUUGAUUCAGCUGCUCUCAUAAAUAAAGAUAAUCAUGCUCUUCUGUUACUUUUAGAUGACUUAAAUAUGCCAUUUCACUUAUUUUUCAUAUCACAAACGAAAUUUUAAUCUAUUUCUAAUUAUGCUUUGCCAUCAUGAAUAGACUUCAAACCCUUGGGCACCAACAAGUUCAGUGGCAUUGGCUGGAUAGCUUCAUAUUAAAAUUUUCUUACUCUCGCAUUUAAAAAUUUAGGAUUUAUUCCCACACUCUUUUAGAUACAACAUUGCAACUCAUCUAGUAUGGUAGUUCAAAGGCCUGACUAUUCGAUUGAAGGUAAUAAUUAGCAUAACCUAAUGUCAAUGGAAUUUGGUUCGUCGAUUUCAACUGACCUGAAUACAAUUAGGCCUGGUUUUACUUUUCGCAUAUACUGCAAAGUCUAGAUAAAAUAAUGAAGAAUAAAUAAGCCGCUACUGCCGACGUAGGUGCAUUAACCCACACUGAAUGACGUAGGGCUGCUGCUUAAUGGAUCUGCUACCCUCAUAUGCUCUCACUAUCGCCAUCAGGAGAUGUGUAGCCAUCAGUAUUCAUCUCAGGGUUCACGACUGGAUGGGAAACAAAAAAAUAUAUCCUUCCUAAUGCGGCAAUCAAGAAGUGCAUUCGCCUAUUGGACAUAAAAGAGUUUUUUACUAGCCCUCCGCAUUCUCAGGUCGAACUAGCUUCCAUCCGUGAGUCUUUUAAUCAACCAUCUGAAGAUAUCGCGGCCACCAACAUAUAGGAGAUGAUAAAUUUCGGCCACAUCAAUGUACAGGUGAUUUUCUUGUAUAUUGCAAAUAAUUUUUCUGGUAAGUUUUGAUUGUUCCACAGAUAAAUACGAAGAAAUUUUUGUUGGAGUUAAGAUUGAUGAUUAUACUGUGAGAAGAAAUACUGUAAUGGCCUGAGGGUAUUUGGGAAAUAUCUUGUAGGGUUCUCCCCAUAUUUAAAGGGUGAUAAUGGUAUCAAUGAAGCUCGAGUUAGUUUUAUGCCGUUUCUGCUCUAUCUUCUGUGAAAAGUAAACUUUUCUCUUUUCCAUCCCGCCCUUACCUUCCUCCUUUAAUUCUUAAUUUAUGGCAUGAUCUCCCUUAAAUCCUAGCAUCUGAAACUUAUUCGUCACGUUAAAACGAAAGUUGAAUAGAUAAGGUGCCGUCUGAGGAAGAUGGAAAGCGAGGUCCAGAAGGAUAAGGCUUCACCAAAAACACUUUCUUAGUCGUCUGCAACGAGGUAAAGUUCGAACAAAGUUUGGUGUGGCGGCAAGUUCAAUUAACCCCCAAAUGAGACUGACCAACCAUAGUCACAUUCGUUGGAGCAUAUUUCAAUUAAAGGCAUGCUCGAAAGUAGCUUGGCCAGAACAUCCGGAAAUUAUGCUCUGAACCGUUACCUGUCAUUAAAGUAGCUUGAUCAGAACAUCGAUCACUCGAAAUAUAUCUUCCUUUCAUCAACCCUAUCAAGACCAGAGCUUCUAGGAAUGAUUCAAACCAUUUCGAUGAUGUCUUGAUCAGUGCUCGUGGAAUGACUACCACAAACAAUUUACCUGUGCCGAUGGCCUCUAUUACAAGACAACACCGACUCAACACUCGCAUUCAGUUACAGAUAUAAACAUCUCUGUGGAAACUAAUUUGGAGUGGAGUCCUUGGGUAUUAUUUUAAAUUGGAAGCGGUAUGAAUCGUGUGGCACCAAAGGAUAAUGGAAACAGGGUCCGAAAACUUUCAUUGGUAGACUUGACUCUAGCAAUUUGUUGAUGAGUUCAGGAAGCCCACAAAGGAAACUAACCGACGCCAACUACGUUUCCCCUAGAAUAAGUCGUAGAAAACACUCGACAACAAACUAGCUCUGGAAACAAAAUUUCAGAACGAGAGGCGAUCCUGCAUUAACAUCUUGGUUUGCUGACAGAAUAACCAGAUUAAGGAUUAUUGUUUAGCUUUCCUUCGGCUUGGCCAUGCCCCUUUGUACGGCUGUAAAUGUAAUCGACAGGACGGUAAAAGCAUCUUCACAGUUCCACAUGCAUUUUCUCGUUAGUCCCGCAGUAGGAGACUCCCCACUCCGCUCCUUCAGAAGAAAUGGUUACCACCAGCAAAGCCGUGGCGGCUGCCGCACUCCUGUUGUUCGUUGCAGCUAUUGCCACUGCACCAAUGUUCUCUUGUUCUCUUGUCUGCCACUGCCAUUGCCAACAUCGAUUGCUUAUCCCCAUAAUAGUCAUCUAAAGACAAAAGUACUCUUGCCUGUCCAAUCUGUCUCAGAUGAAUGGGAAUGUAAAUAGGCCUUCUCAGCCGUAAAAUCAAGCUUUCUGUACUUAAUGCACAAUCUCCAUUCGUGACCUAUAAUGGACUCUUCUUCACCUUUUCAGUUUUUACAAAUGUGAACCUCAAUUUAUUAACACUCUAUUAUCUGAUUUUUAAUAGUCUAUUCUCAUGUAAUAAAUUAGUCUAGAUUUAUGUAGUUUUUGCAUAAUGUAGUCUAAAAUGUGUAUUAUUUAAAUAUGGAUUAGAUUUAUAUUUAUCGAGGAUUUAUAUCAUCUGUAUCUUCAAUGAUCAUUUAUUCUACAUUGUAAUUGAUCUGCCAAAAAAUUGAUGUUAAUUUAAGAACUCAAAUUUAACAUUUAUAAAAAUUAAAAAAAAUUAAAAUUUCGUUAAUUCUUGAGGUUUCAGGUCGAUUCUCAAGGAAAUCAGAAAGUUGAGGGAAUCAUUUCAAUGUAGAAAGUGUGAAAAACAAAUAGUUACCUGAUAGUAGUUUUUGUAAAUUAUGAACUAUGAAUGUAUCUAACUUUAAAAAUAAAAUACAUAAAAUAUAGAAAACGUCAUAUAUUUGAAUAUCUCUGAAAAAUAUCCCAUAAUUCUCCAUGUCAUUCACUGAACAACAAAAUUAGUGGAGGGUGAAAGUCAGAAUUUGGGAACAUAAAAAUAGAGCACAUGGUUGUUGUAAAAUCUAGAAGGCUAUACUAAACCCAUUCUAAAAUCACGAAAAAAUUAGAGAAGAUGGGAAACUAACUAUGCUAAGUUUUUCCAAAACAUGAGAUGACUUAUACUAGAGAGAUAGAGAAUGGAUGUGAGAGUGGUUUUCAGGCUAUGGAAGUCAACGGGCUCAUGGGUUGUUGUCAUAUCCACAUUGGAUAUAUGGAGAACUUAAUUAUAAAUAAUAAGAGAGCAUUUAAUAAGAUGGGUUGUUUAUUAUGAGAGAAUAAGAGGGCAUUUGAAAAAAGGAAGAAUUUCAUAUUAAAUAAUAUGAGACUUAUUUAUUUCUGGGGCUUUAUUUUCGGACCAUCCCAAUUGGAUGUUGCAGAACCGAUCACUUGAUGAAGAAGAUGGCUUCAAACUUAACUGGACUCAUCAGAGUAUGCUGAUUUUUUUCUUCUACAUUCAGAUUCUUAAAUGUGCAGACUCUGCCUCUUUCACCUCAAGUUGAGUUUGGGAAGGUAAGUCUUGGGACAGGCCAAUAAGCUCUGCAAAAGAAGGGGCUUGCCCCAUCUGUUCAAUCUGUCAAUAUUUCCUCGAUUUUGUUGAAUUGUUUAAAAAUUUUUGCGAUAGAACCCCCAGAAUUCACCACCAUAGCACUAUGGAUGAUAAGUAAUUGUGUCAGAAUUAACAUCAAUAAAUCGUAGCUGAACAUGUAGGCAGAGAAUCCCCGAAAAUCAAAGAUUGACGUCGUUGAAAAUCAUCACUCCAUGUCCAGAAAACAGGUGGGACUCUAUGAUUAUGCCUUGGAGCAAAUUUUUUUGUGCAUACUUCACUUGCAUCUUGUAUUUUCUAAAAUUUCUGGGGCUCCUCUAUUUUGCCUUCCAGCCUAGAGGAAGAAGAUGAUGAGGUCACAACACGGCCUUGUGACUGUCAGAAUUGCUUUGUUGAAUAGGCAAUCGACCUCUCCCCGUCAUGCAUUUGUGUCAAUAUGACGGGCAUUCGGCAUGCAAUUACGAUCAAAAUACUAACUAAAUUCUUCCGCUACACCUGCAUAAUAUUCAUAUUUCCUUAUUUGAAAUAUUCUAUUCAAAAGGUCCAUAAAAUCUUACUUUUAAUUAUAUAUUCAAUCUAUAAAUAACUGAUAAUUUAAGAUCAAAUAAUACUCGAUCCAAUUACCUUAAUAUUUUGCCGUGCAUGCAUUUGUUUUUAAUCAAGUAUUUGAUGGUUAUUUGAUUUAUUUUAUGGGUUCCCUCAAUAAGGGACACCAACGGCCUGCACCGACCGUGGAGCCAUGUCUAGUUAUGUGGGCGAAUCAGCCUUGAAAAUUCUAUACUAUGCAUUCGAAAUAAUCGUCAUUAUGCAUCUAUGACCUCACCUAACUCGACAUCUAGUUUUCCUCCCCCCUACAAUUUACAGACAUUAAUAUUGAUGUGCUGUCAUAUUUCUUUGAAGGAUGGGGGCGGCACUGUCGUCCAAAGGCUAUUUAUUUUGGCAAAAUCCAGAAUUGCCUGAUGUGAGGAUGGAUUAGAAACAGGUUACUCUCACAGAAGGUAGCAUAAAGUUUUUCUGUUUACAGAGUGAACAAGAUUUUUACUAGCCGGUACCUUACAAUUUCAGUUCAUGAUUUACUGGUUACUGGGCAGUAGCAACAAGCCAGCCAUGACCUCCACAGUUAUUGAUAUCAAUUCAAAUGAGAUGAAUUGGAUCUCGUUUAAAGAGUGAGAAGAGUCAUUGGAGCAGGCGGGAGAAUUGAGUUGAUGGCUCUGAGUUCGGCUGUCAUUAGCUAAAAUGGGGGUAUUUUAAUCUCUUUUUUAACCAUUGAUUUGAAAAAUAUGUUAUAUUAAAAUCAUAAAUAUUUUUUCUCAAUUUUAGGAUCAUAUAAUAUUGUAGGAAAUAAUAUUUGAAUGUUUCAUAUUGAAUAAUAGUGUGUAAUAUUUUUCUAUUUUCUCUUGACUUAUUUCAGUUUAAAAGAAAUUUAAUUGGUAUAAUUACUGGGCCUGAAUUUAAUUUGAAAUUUAUUUUAUUAUUGGGCCUAAUUUUAGUUGAAAUUGAUUAAUUUGGCCUAAAUUUAAGUUUAAAUGGUAUGAUAUUCCGGCUUGAAUUUAAGGUGAAUUUAUUUGAUUAUUGGGCCUUAUUUAAGACGUAUUGGAUCCAAGCUAACUGGGUCUCAUUAAAAAAAAUUAUUGAACAAUAACCUUCUUCUCGGGUCCAUAAUGAUCCGAAAAUUAAAGCGUCCGAAAUAAAUAAGUUUCGUAUAAUUUAAUAUUAAAUUCUCCCUCUUUUCAAAUGCUGUCUUAUUCUCGAAUAUUAAAUUACCCAUCUUAUUAAAUGCUCUCAUAUUCUUAUUAUUAAAUUUUCCCUCUUAUAUGGAGUGCGGAUAUAACAACUAUUCAUGCGCCGUUGACUGCCAUAUCCUGGAAACCAUUCUCGCGGCCUGUUCUCCAUCUUUCUACUAUAAGUCAUCUCAUGCUUCACAGGUUACGCGUAGAAGGAAAAAAAAUCAAUAUUAUUUGGAUGUAGCAGAACCGAUCACUUGAUGAAGAAGAUGGCUUCAAACUUAACUGGACUCAUCAGUGCAUGCUGAUUUGUUUCUUCUUCAUUUAGAUUCUUAUAUUUUCAGAUUCUUCCUCCCUCUUAUUCACAAGUUGAGUUUUGGAAACGAAAUAUUGGGCUGCCAAUAAGCUCAGCAAAGAGUGUGCGUGGUUAAAUAUUGGGAUAAUACAUGAAGGCGUCUCUCUUUUUGAACGGUGAUCUUGUCCCCGUUUUUAAUCACAGUAACGAGCAGAAAACCCUGUCUAAGAACUCAAAAACGUAUCUUUUGCCAUUAUACCUCUUUAAUAAUUUAUAUCAAACAAGAUCCUGACCUGAGUACUUGAGACUGUCAGCGGUUUGUCUUUUUGUGCGGGAAACAGGACGGUGAAUGACUAAAAUAACUGCACUUUAUCUUGAUUUAGGUUAAUAGUAGGCUGCAUGAACUGGUAGAUAAAGCUAAAGUGAACUCCUUGAAGAAAUCGACUGGGAGAAGAUGCUAAACACUGAGUUGCCUCGGAGUGAUGCGACAGCCUAUGGUUUAAAUUGUCAUUAAGCCAGCAAGUGCUUAAAGUGGUUGGGUAAAUUCUAUAACCCUCUCCAUCUUUCUCAUAUUCUUCCUAGUUUUCUUAUUUCGCAUAUUUAACAAUAAAAAGGCCUGGUUCUACCAUAUACAAAUGAGUUCGAUUCGAGUGUAUUGCAAGGGGCCAUGCUGCAAAAGCAUUACUAUGCUGGAAUGAAAGAUUAAUCAAUGCAACUUUUCGAAGAAGUUCACUUUAUUAUCCUUGUUUCAUCCAUGAGCAGAAGCCGUACUUUAAUUCAUAGCUCUAAACUUGUAGCCAUGUGCCAUUUGGAAGAAAGUGUGGCUUCUUGUACAGAGAUGCCAAAGCUUUGGAUGGUGCGUUAAUAGCUAUUCAGUACUAGAAGGUAGGGUACUACAAUCAUGAUUAAUCAAUCAUCAGAUCCACGAUCAUGGAAAAGGACUGCGAUCACAAUCACGAUUCGGGUCCUUGAUCGAUCAUUGAUCAAUCGAUGGAUCGAUGGCUACAGUGUAUUAAUGGUUACGAUUCACAUUGACGAGAGAGAUUAAAUCUCUCUCGCUCUUGUCUCUCACUCUUUCACUUCUGCCGCCUCUGUCCUCUUCUCGUCGGAGAGACCAACUUUACCACUGCCAGGUUCGCCACCACCCACUUCAUCACCGCCGCCUCUCCUUCUCCCUCUCCCCCUCUCUCUCCUCUCUCUCUCUCUCUCUCUCUCUCUCNNNNNNNNNNNNNNNNNNNNNNNNNNNNNNNNNNNNNNNNNNNNNNNNNNNNNNNNNNNNNNNNNNNNNNNNNNNNNNNNNNNNNNNNNNNNNNNNNNNNNNNNNNNNNNNNNNNNNNNNNNNNNNNNNNNNNNNNNNNNNNNNNNNNNNNNNNNNNNNNNNNNNNNNNNNNNNNNNNNNNNNNNNNNNNNNNNNNNNNNNNNNNNNNNNNNNNNNNNNNNNNNNNNNNNNNNNNNNNNNNNNNNNNNNNNNNNNNNNNNNNNNNNNNNNNNNNNNNNNNNNNNNNNNNNNNNNNNNNNNNNNNNNNNNNNNNNNNNNNNNNNNNNNNNNNNNNNNNNNNNNNNNNNNNNNNNNNNNNNNNNNNNNNNNNNNNNNNNNNNNNNNNNNNNNNNNNNNNNNNNNNNNNNNNNNNNNNNNNNNNNNNNNNNNNNNNNNNNNNNNNNNNNNNNNNNNNNNNNNNNNNNNNNNNNNNNNNNNNNNNNNNNNNNNNNNNNNNNNNNNNNNNNNNNNNNNNNNNNNNNNNNNNNNNNNNNNNNNNNNNNNNNNNNNNNNNNNNNNNNNNNNNNNNNNNNNNNNNNNNNNNNNNNNNNNNNNNNNNNNNNNNNNNNNNNNNNNNNNNNNNNNNNNNNNNNNNNNNNNNNNNNNNNNNNNNNNNNNNNNNNNNNNNNNNNNNNNNNNNNNNNNNNNNNNNNNNNNNNNNNNNNNNNNNNNNNNNNNNNNNNNNNNNNNNNNNNNNNNNNNNNNNNNNNNNNNNNNNNNNNNNNNNNNNAUAUAUAAUAUUUAGGCACUUGAUCACCUGACCAUAUAAUAUAAUAAUAUUAUAUGAUGACAACCAAUAUAAAUAUAAUAAUAUUAAAUGGCCGAUCAUGAUCGAUUGGAUUGUCGAUCACGACGAUCGAUGAUUAUGAUCAGCGAUUUCGGCUGUUCGGAUCAUUAUUUCAUAGGAUUUAUUUAUGGGGGCCUGUUAGUACACGAUCAGAGCACUAACUGGAAGCCUGUUCAGUAGACACCUCACUGCAAACAUAACAUGCGGAUGCAACACCUGGCAUCCCUGCGGAAGGGGAUAUUGGCGCCUCUGCAGUUGAACUCCUCGUACUUGAAGAAGUAGCCUUUGUAGUACCUGGGGCCCAUGUUGUACCACACACCACAUCGCCCACAAAAGGGUUGCCUGCAGCCCCUCGUCUGGUAAAUCAUGAGGGAGCUGGCUGACGCUGGGGCAAUGGCGACGGCUGUGAUGAGCAACAGCAGAACGGCAGCUGCCAUGGCGCCAGGGGUCUUGCUGGCCGUGGCCAUAUCCUUCACGGGGUCACGGCAGGACUCACGAAUCUGAGGUUUGGGGCAUGUCAAGGGGGGUUGCUCGUCGAGUGGUGAUGAGCUGCUGUCCUUCGGGGCCCAUUCCCUGCUCUUUAUAGAAGGUACAUGCAUCCUCGCAUGUGUCCACGGAUUUCGCCAUUAAGGGUAGACGUCAAUCUGCGCAUAUAAGUCAAUGGUGGAUUGUUACCUCCCACCCAGGCUCUUCGGGUUCAUCUUGUCUGGGGGAGUGGAUUUGCGCCGAUAGCACAAGGUUAAGUGUGAACGCGUGAACUGGGGAAUCAAUUGACGGAUCACUAGAUAAACAGUGUGUUGGAGAUAAGCUUGACGGUUACUGGGGAUUUCUGUAACGAUAGAGCGUUACAAUGUAACGCCUCCAUUGAAGCCUAUAAAUAGGCAUGUAACCCUUGAGUUGGGUGUGGAAUCAAGAGAGUUGCAUUUGAAUUGUUCCCCUUUUCUGAUUUCUCCGCCCAUCAGGGUGGCGGGCUCCUCCUGUCACCCUGCCCCUUUCUCUCUUUCCCCUUCUUGAUUCCUACACGGUGAACUCAUGGGAGGGCUCUCCCCUAUAAAUGGGGAGGGGAUUUGAGCGUGGAGAGAGGAAGUGUGGCCUUCCUCCUCCUCGAGCGUCACUUAUAACGUACUCUGAGUGAGAGAAUACAUUACAUAUUGGUGUAGAAAAGUUUUCCGCAGCGUGAAUAGGCUGGUUGGCGCAGUCAUGGCCGGUCUGGAUGAGAAUCGAGGAGAGUUUGAUGUUCACCCCGAGACAUUGUUCCCGGAUGUUGUGGGACAUGAGCGGCAAGUUGUUACCCAAGUCUAUCACUGUAUCAUUCACACCUACAAUGUACUAUGAUGCUAUUCGCAGUGUAGAAGAGUUGUAGUACCGUGGACUCACGUCUGACUCAGAAGAUGCCAUCCACACAUACUGGUAAAGUUGAGAUCUUUUGCUCCUUAGGGCCUUAGUGGGCACAAUUCCCAGAAGAUUGUUAUUGACGGGGAAGAAAUCCUAACAUUUGAUCAACGGGAAGCCAGAAAAUUCAAUGGAAGGAAUUUUAUUCACAGGCUGUCCUCAGAUUGGCCGCUAUUGGGCUCGACAUUGGUUUUUUCUGAUUGCAGAUUUUCGCUUAAGCAGCAGUGACUAUGAAUUCUCUUUUGAAAGUCUAAGCCAUCCGAUGAAAUGAAUUGUAAAUAUAAGUUAAGUGUAACAAUAAAUCUCUACUUACUCAUCCAGCAUGGCCUUUGCUGGUGAAAUGUCCCAGAAAGAUGAAAAAUGGAAGUUAGCAUUAAAGUUAGUUCUCUCAGGAUUCAAUCCAAAACUACAGGUAGUGAAAUAAGAAAUAAAGAGAUCAGCAUAAUGCAGUUAUUUAUGUAACCAAGGUCCUGCGGUAUCUUGUGUCAUAAAGCUUUAGAAGUUGACUUGCCUGAAAAUAGUAUGUUUCCUUUGCUUACUCAUCUCAAUUUUGUUUCAAAUAUACAUAAAAUGCAUAUUUUUAACUUAUGCUGAAUAAAAUAAACCAAAACUUUCUUUUAAAAGUGAAACAUUAGACAGUUAACUACUUCAUCUUCUUUGUUAACAUUAACCUCUAAAAUGUGAAAUUGUAAGAUAAAUUUGCUAAAGACAUUCAUUUGCUCCAAAGGACUUGUGUCUUCAGACAUGCACAAGCUAUAUAAUUUACUUUUCAAAAUAUUUUUUUACUAGAUACUUCAUGAUCCUUUUGUUAUGGCAUGGAUCUUCAAAAACAAUCUCAUUCUUAUUGCUUGAAUGGAGGGAACAGUUUUGGAUGUCAAAUGUUGAUGUCCUUAGUUUUGACAAUAACAUAUGACAAUUUAUUAGAAAAUUAUUUAUUCUGAGUUUUAAUCAAAAAAAUAUGAUACCAUGUCUUUAUUUAUAUCUUCUAGCUAUAUAUUCAAAUAUAUGAUCAUGUUAAUCACAUAUUGAUUUCUUCAUCCAAUUCUUUUGGUUUUUGCUUUAACAUUUAAAUCAAAGGUUUCAGCCUUGGGAUUAAGUUAUAUUUCUGUCAUAAGAAUAGUAAAAAAUCAGCAGUCACCAAUUGAAGAAAGAUGUACAAACUGCAUGUUCUAUGUGACAGAUUAAGUAUAUGUCACAUAGGGUCAUAAGACAAGUGUUCAUACAUAACGUAUCACAUGAUCUAUGCAUCAACACAUGGGAAAAGAAUAUUCUAUCCUCAUUAUACUUCUAAUUAACUAAUCGUAAUGGUCCUGUAUUUAUAUGUUCUAUGUAAUUUAAAUAUAAUGUCAGACAUGUUUUCUAAGUUAUUAUGAGCAUCUAAUCAAUAAGAGAGACAAAAUAUAUCAAAGAUUUUAAUUUCAAAAGUUUAUCUUGAUGGUGACGUGUUAAAUAAGUGUGGAAAAAAAGGUCAAAUCAAAUCAAAUCAUUAGAAUUCAACAUGAAUUCCAACUUUCCUAUGAUCAAGUUAAAAGAUUAUAAUUUAAUUGUAACCUUAAAAGAUCAUAAUAAAUGAGAAAGUGAAAAAAUAGAAACUGGAUAUUAUAAUAAAUGAUAAGUAUAUAAAAAGUUAAAUUGAAUAUUGAAGAUUCAAAAAAAAUUUGAAAGUCAGUGCAUGAUGAAAAUAAACGUAUAUGAGAGAUAUAUAUGCCAAAAAAUAGGUAAUUCACUCAAAGACAUAGUACUAUCUAUCAAGACCUUCAUGUUGCAGCUUCAUUGACAAAAAAAUUGCAACAUCCUUAUCUGCUUGAUCUAGCAAUAAAAUAUUUAUGCAAAUAGGAUUAAAAUUUUCAGCUAAGUCUUGAAGUAGUAGAGUAUUAAUGAAAGAAUGAUUUUGACGAAGCCAAACAAUGAUUGUAGCCUCAUUUAGGUCAAGAGGAACUGAUGGAGAUGGACUGAUAUGUUGAAAGCUCUCUAUGGAGAGAAACAAAAGAGCUUUGGACAACUGAUCUUGUUCACUUUAGUUUGUAUUAUUAGGAGGAAUAAUUAGAUUCAUGGAUACUUGUCUUGAUUACAAGAAGUGACUAGGUGUAAGCUGAACAAUUUAAAACAUUAUACCCUUAGGAAAUAAAUGCUGAAAGGUAUUACUAUUAGAAAUAGCCCUUCAUGUGUAUGUUAAUAUGUAUAACUAAUCUAUUUACACAUAUAUCACUUGUGUUAAUAGAUAAAUCAUUCGUUUUAAUUGAAAUAAUUGAUAUCAAAACUAAAUUUAAAUGACAUAAUAAAAUAUUGAGCAUAUUUAAAGAUUAGUGAAUUAUUUAAUCAAUAGAAUCAUAUACCAUAUGUUUGAUGAAAUAAACUGUGCAUUUCGACGAAAUAGAUGCAUGAUGUGACCCUAAGUCAUUAUUAAAAUCAUCAUUAAAUUUUAAUAAUUUAUAAAACUAGAUUCACCAAAAAAAUUAUAUUAAAUAGAUAUAGUGGUGAGCUAGGUCAUCUCUUGAGGGAAAGUUUUUAAAACUCUUUUUAUUCUCUAAUUUAAGGGCUUAUGAAAUUGAUUUGAAGAUCUAAAUUGAUAUUCAAUGUAAUAAAAUAAAUAAAAUGUUAAAUAAAUAUAGAUACGAAUUUGAAACUUAAAGAAAAUAGAAAAAUAAAUGAAAUAUGUUUUAGAAUGAUUAAAAUGGAAAAGAAUCAAGUAAAUAAAUGAUUAAGGCUAAGAAAAUAAAUUUAUUUCACAAAUCAAACAAGAAAAUAAUAAAAAAUAUAUUAAAAAUCAAACUUAUAACCUUUAGAAUACAUGGCUUGAAGUUGACCUCUAGAUAGUGCUUGUCAAUCUUGCAUCCAGCUCAACAGAAUAAAUUAAAGAUUAGAAGGGUAGAAGAGAAUGAUCAAAAAUCAAUAGUGUAUUCCUUAGAAUUCUAUUUUCACAUAAAAAAAGAAUAAUCUUUUUUCUCAAGAACAACUCGAAAAAGGAUCCAUUUCUCUCUUUUCUUCUUCAUUUUUGUUCCCUAGAUCCGUAAAUAGUAUUUUUUGUUUAAACUUCAUAUUUUUUAUUGUAUUUUUUCAAUUUUUCUCCAACUUUUAUAAUAUUUUCCCUUUUUCUCAUUCGGCAAUAAUUGAUAUUAUCUAUUUUAGGAUACUGCGAUCAUGAUCGAUCAAUCGUUGGAUCGACGAUCAUGAUUAAUUGAUCGACAAUCAUGAUCAUAGAAAAUGACCACAAUCACGAGCAAGAUCUGGGUCUUUCAUUGAUUAUUGAUCGAUCAGUGGAUCAAUGGCUACAAUUUACUAUUUGUUGGAUGGUGACUUUUCAUCAUCCAACGGUUAUGAUUCACAUCAUGAGAGAGAGAUUAAAUCUCUCUCUCUCUCUCUCUCUCUCUCUCUCUCUCUCUCUCUCUCUCUCUCUCUCUCUCUCUCUCUCUACUACUACUACUACUACUACUACUNNNNNNNNNNNNNNNNNNNNNNNNNNNNNNNNNNNNNNNNNNNNNNNNNNNNNNNNNNNNNNNNNNNNNNNNNNNNNNNNNNNNNNNNNNNNNNNNNNNNNNNNNNNNNNNNNNNNNNNNNNNNNNNNNNNNNNNNNNNNNNNNNNNNNNNNNNNNNNNNNNNNNNNNNNNNNNNNNNNNNNNNNNNNNNNNNNNNNNNNNNNNNNNNNNNNNNNNNNNNNNNNNNUCCUCACCUCUCUCUCUCUCUCUCUUGUCCCUCCUCUCUCUCCACCUCUCUCUCUCUCUCCCCUAUCUCUCUAUCUCUCUCCCUCUCUCUCAUUAACAAAGUUCAUAAAUAUUAGCUGAUCAUGAUCGUUGCUUCUAGUGCUAAAGAUGUGGCUGCUUCUAGUGCGUUAGAUUUGAUAGUGGUUGCCGUUAGAUCUAACACUACUUUUUAUGUGAUGGUGGGUGGUGACAUGGCAUAUUCCUGUGCGUCAUAUAUAAUUGUCACCACUAUUGGAUUGAUAGUUCCUUUUUGUACAAUGAUGGGUGGUGACAUGGCGGCUUCUAGAUCAUCAGAUCUAGCCACUAUUGUGGCUCUACCAUUGGAUCUGAAAUAGUUAGAAGAUGUGGUUUAAUCUCAUAUCAGAAGUUUAGUGUAUAUAGAGUAAUAUAUAUUAACCGAUGCCCUUGACUCAUCGCAAGUGCCUCUAGAAGGGAUGAUCUGGAUUGAGACCCAGCCCCUAGUAGGCCAGAAAGGUGAUCUAUUUGGCUCAAACCCAUGAUCUAGAUCUGUGACUCGAUUUACACAAGUCACAAGGUAGUGCACCCUUUGGGCCUACUCCUAGAUAUAGUGUGGCUUCCAGCCCAUGUUGGGCUUGUUAAGUGGUGUGCCUCUAGCCUGCUAAUAGUGAAACCAUUUUUUUUAUUAUUUUUAUUUAUUUAUUUUAAUACCUAAAAAUUUCAGAAAAAUUAUAUAAAAUAUAUUUAAUUAAUCAUAAAAUUUAGCAUAAUAGAAUUUUAUUUAAAAAUGAUAAUUAAGCUUCAGCAUACCUCAUCCUCAUGCUCACUAAUGAUGGUUCUUGUAGCCAACAUUGUUCUAUGAUGCUCAACCAAUUCUUCAUAAAUAGUUUGAAUUUUUUUACAUUUAGAUAAUCCAUUUUUAGGAGAUUGAUAACUCUUUUGACCUCUCUCAUUCAUAUAUUUAGUUUUGUCGGUUUUCAUGAAAUGACGUAGAAAUUUCACAAUUUUUUGUUGUAUUUUUGCCGAAGUUAUAACAUUUCUUCAAAAUAUAAAUAGCCAAUAUUAGGUUAUAUGCUUCAAAACGAAUGAGAAAAAGAUUAAUCUAAGAGCAUCAUCAAAAAAAAUUUAGAUUUUGAUGAUAGAUCAAAUUUUGACAAAUUCAUGAAUGUGCUUGGAGGUAUCUUCAUUAGCGUUUCUAGAUGAAGAUGUGAGCAUAUGAAUAGUUCUUAAUUUGAUUUCAUAUUGGACAACUUGAUUUGGGGGAUGUGGUUACAAGAUGAAGGUUGGUAUUUAUUUGGAAUAAAUAAUCCUUCAUCUUUGUAUGGUAUUCCACUCCACCUUCAUAAUCCAUUUCCUCUAUUGUGUUUUGAGCCCUAAUAUGAAGAAUUAUCUCAACUUCAGGAAUUAGUUAUAAUAGAAUUGGGUUGAGAGAUGAGCUACCAAGCACACACUAGGGAUAAAAUGAGAAGAGAUUUUUCAGUAAAAAUCCAAGUGAGAUGAGAAUAAAUUCUAGAACUAGAGAUGCAAACUAACUUUAAUAUAAUUGUAUUUUGCUUUAAUUUCAAUAACGUUUGGAUUGAGAAAUAAUAGAUAUACAAGAUAAUGCACAAGUAUAUAUCUUGAGCGAAAAUUUCAGUUAAAUAACCUUGUAGCCUUACAAAAAAGAUUAAAUUGAGCAAGAUGACUUCAACUAAAAGUAAGCAUGAGAAAGAUAAUAUUCAUAGAAACAAAAUGAGUUUAUCUAUAGAAAGUUCAAAUUAGAACCUUAAUUGUGGUAUAAUUGUGUUUCAGAAACAAAAAUGGAAGAACAUAUACUAUGUAGAAGAAAAAUUAAAACUAAAUGAGAGAAUCUCAAAUUUCAGAAAAUGAGUCUCCACCAACUCUAGUAAAUGGAGAAUGCUAAGGAGUGAUGGCAGCACGAGGCAAUUCAGAGGUGUUGCCGAAGAGGAGUGAUUUGGGGCAAGCCCAUGAGGAUGGAAAGUUUAAAUUUUCACUGGCUCCUAACCAUAAUCUCUUUUCUGUCUUGUAUCUAAAUAAGAUAAAUAAUUAAGCCCAACAACUGCACAGAACGAAAAUAUAAUUAUGCAUGCAAAUUACCAGGAAUGCACAAGAAUUUAGAACUUUCGGCUCCCCAACCAACAGGGCCUCGGGCUCCCCACCAUCAGAAGAUGCUCCAGCCAGUUUUCUUCACUCCAUUAAAGAUUUAAAGCUUGUCUAUGUUACGCUCACCAGCAUCGUCCCCCUUCAGCUUCAUCCUUGCACUAAGUUUGGAGCCACAAGGCCCCACUUGAGCCUUUUGUCUUGCAUCAAGGUGCCCACUUUGGUUCCUCUCACCUGUGUCACAUUUGUUGACUCGACGACAUGUUCAUUAUGACCAUAUGAACCUAGCAGAUCACCCCUGAUGCAGGAUGUGAUGAUGAAAAGACUAUAUUACCCAAAAUAGGUGACUUAGACUAGACUCUACUAAAGGAUCUAAGAACUAAAGAAGGUCAACUAGGGUAAGAUUGGGUGAAAUCUUGGAAGAUUGAAAUCAACGGAAUGUCACAAUUAAAAAAUCGCUAAUGAUUAGUGUGCUCCAACUCAAUAAAUCAAUUAGCCACAAAUCAAAAGGUUAUCACUUCUCACUAACCACCAAUCACUAAAAUGAAUAAACUUAUCUAUGGUUCCCAUAAUGACAAUUUUGCACAACAAAAUACUGAGUGAACAAGAUACUCUAUUAUGGAAAUGAAAGGUUUAGAGAUAACCUUGUCACCAGGUUAAGUGACUGAUUGGAAAAGGUGUCAGUUAAAGCUGGACCCCACUUGUCAACCGUUGACCUAUAUGUGUUGACUGUUGACUUGCAUGAACUGGUUCCAGUUGGCCAGGUGGGGGUGGCUGGGCUGGAUUAAAGCAGACCGGUCUGGCCCAGUGGUUCCGAAUAACACAAUUUAGGGCUUUUUUUAUACCCUAAAUGUUCGUGGGCACGGACAGAAUGUGUGGGCUGAGGGAGGCGAGGUGGCAGCAGUGGCAGACGGGGCAGGAGUCGGGACGAUGGUGGAGGCAGCAGCAGCAAAUGGUGACGGUGGGUUAUGCUAGAAGAGGAAGGAUGGAAGGUGCGGAUGGCGGCAAUGUGAUGGACUCCUAGCAGCAGCCCACCUACCACAGAAGAAGCGGAGUAAGAGGAAACAGAGGUCCCAGAGAAAUAAAAGAGGGAAAUGGGCCGACAGAGACAAGCCCAAAGAUGGAAAAAGAAGCGGUGAACAUAAGCAACCAUUGAACGCGGAGGACAACGACCAUAACAACCACCUGCUGACGGGAGAAGACUCGGGCAGCAAUCUGAAUACAAUAAAUAGGCGAAGCACCAAGGGGCAGAGGGAGAGGGAGAUUAGCCAUCUCGAAUCGGCUGCCUUGUUCUCUUGUGUUCUUCUCUUCCUCUUUCCUCUUUCUCUCGUUCCCCGCCUUCCCCCUCAGUUCCCUUUCUCAUAAUAUCCUUCAGUCCUGUGGUGCAUCUGGAACACCGAUCUGUCAUCCUCGUUUGAAUCCAAGAAGUAUUUCCUGUUCAAAUCUCAAUCUUGCUACAGCAGCGAUCGCCACAGUCGCGGAUCCUAUCACAAUGGCAGCGGCAGACGGCGACGACGGAUGGCGGCGGACAGCGAUGACGGACCGCGGUGAGCAGCGACGACGGACGACGGAUGUCGGCGGAAACCGGCGGCAGAUGGUGGCGGACGAGCAGCGGAUGCAAGCGGUGGCGGCGGUAGUUGACGACGGUGGUGAUGGAUAGUUGACCCUCACUGCCUCUCCUUGCGGAGCGAUUUGACUCUCACGGCCUUCUCUGUCUAUUCUUUGGGCUAUCACGAGGUUAUUUAUAACCUCCAAGAAAAUAGAAAAGAAAAGGAGUUCAUGGAAGACGGGGUUACUCUCCCAUGAAGAGUAAUCGCGUGAAGGCGGGAGGAUGGAGAGGACGGCGAGGACGCCGCCGGCGAAGGGGCAGUGGCGGCCGCCGCUCCUCUCGUCAUACGCUGGCCUCAUGACCCCAAUUUGGCCAUCGCCUUUCUCGGAAUGUCCUCGCUGACUCCCGCCGAUUUCCGGACCUCGAGGCUGUGCUGGAGAUCACGGCGGAAGAAGGGUUGAGGCCCUCUGCCGAAGUGCUUGGUGCCAUCGUCGCUGGUUAUUCUGACACCAGUGAGGAAUACCCUGCUGUUCUAGUCCACGGCGAAGGACCCUUCCCGAGACCGACGGCUCAACCGCCUUCUCCACGGGCUUGCGCGGCGCCGCCGCUACGAGACUGCCCGUAACCUGUGCGACGAAAUGCUCCAAGGAUAUGGCGUAGCAGAUAACUUCUCCAAUGGUAUAGUUGUGAAGGGCCUGUGAGAUCAAGGGAAGGCGGGUGAAACCCUGGAAGAAAUUAAUGGACGACUGCUGCAGGAUCGGAGAUGCCUGCAAAGUGUGGUUUCGUAUGGAAACGAUAAACGCACAGUAUCCUCAUGAGCAAUGCAUGCAAUGCCGGUGAGCUUGAAAGAACUGCUGUUCUCUUCAGGAAUAUGCUGCUCGGCAGGCGCGCCAUCCUAGUGACGUCAUCUUUCAUUACCUUCUCAACGGGCUUAAUCAUGCCGUUACGCCUUUGUGCGGUGGUUGAUGAUGGGCUUGACGGGCAUGAGGGCCCCUUGCUGUUCGAGAUGCUCAGAAAAUAGUUGCAUAUGAUUGGGAUCCCUGGUCAGCAGCUUAUAAUGCCAUCAUCUUAUUUCUCUGCCGGCAUCGGAUGCUCAAGUUGUGGGUUAGUAGGAAGGAAUUGUGUUACUGAGACAUUAAAAUAAAAAUAGCAUGAACCAUUGAAGAUAUUGUUCCUGAGGAGUUAUUGAUGAAAGGACGAUGCGAUUUGGCUUUGGCAAUUCUUGUUGAAGUAAGAUCUCUUGAAUCUCGCUCAAUAGCUUUUUCGGUGGCUGCCAUCAACACAGAGGAAAGUGCCAUCAACCAUCUGUAACAGCUGCCAAUAUUUCCUCAAUUUUCCUGAAUUGUUUUAAACUUUUUGUGAUAGAACACCAGCAUUCACCACCAUAGCACUAUGAAUGAUAUCUUUCCUUUCAUGAUAAGCAAAUGUGUUAGAAUUCACAUCAGUAAAUAGUAGCUGAACAUGUAGACAGGGAAUCCCAUCAUUUUAAUGUCUUUCCUAUCAUCUAUUUUGAAGCCUAAAACCAAGAAAGAGUGUCCUUUUGAACUUUCUUCUUUUCCAGCAUAUCAAAGAUUGAUGUCUUUGAAAAUCAUCACUCCAGACCCAGAAAGGAGGUAGGACUCUAGGAUUAUGCCUUGGGGCAAAUAUUUCUAUACAUAAUUCACUUACAUCUUAUAUUUUUUAAAAUGUCCGGGGCUUCUCUAUUUUGUCUUUCAACCUAGAGCAAGAAGAUUAUGAGGUCUCACCAUGGCCUUAUGACUUCUGAGAAUUGCUUGGUUGAAUAGGCAGUCGAGCUCUUUCUGUCAUGCAUUUGCAUCCCUGUGAAGGGCAUUCAGCAUGCAAUUAUGAUCAAAAUACUAACUAAAUUCAUCCACUACACUUGCAAAAUGUUCAUAUUUCCUCAUUUGUAAUAUUUUGUUCAUAAUGUCAAUGAAAGAUUACUUUUAAUUAUUUAUUUAAUCUAUAAAUAACUGAUGAUUUAAGAUUGAAGAAUACGUGAUCCAAUGACUUUGAUAUGUUGCCGUGCAUGUAUUUGUUAUUAACCAAGUAUUUCAUGGUUAUAUAAUUAUGCUGAUUUAUUUUCUGGGUUGCCUCCAAAAGGGACAUCAUUGGCCUACACUGAACCAUCUCUAGUUAUGUGGCGAAUCAGCACUGAAAAUUCUAUGCUAUGUACUAGAAAUAAUCUUCAUGAUGCAUGUAUGAUCUAAGCUAACUCCACAUCUAGUCUUCUUGCAAUCUACAAUCUGCAGAUAUAAAUAUUGAUGUGUUGUCAUAUUGUGUUGAGGAAUGGGCGUUUCAUUCAUCGGCAUGGCCAUCCGAAGAGAAUUUGGCCGUGCCUGAUGUGAGGAAGGAUUAGAACCGGGGUACUCACAGAAGAAAACAUCCUUAAAGAUUUUAUCAUCACAGAAUACAGCCUUUUAUUAGCCAGUACAUUUCAAUUUCAGUUCAUAAUAUACUGGUCACUGGGCAGUGGCACCAACUCAGCCAUGACCUCCACAGUUAUUGUUAUGGAUUAAAAUGAGUUGAAUUGGAUCUCUUUGUAAUGAUCCAGAAGAGUCAUUUGAGCAUGCGGGAGAAUUUAGUUGAUGGCUCUGAGUUCGGCAGCAUUAGCUAAGAUGGGGUAUUUUAGUCCUUUGUUUAAGCAUUGAUUUGAAUAAUAUGUUAAUAUUAAAAUCACAAUAUCUCUGCUUAAUUUGAGGAUGAUAUACUAAUUUAGGAAAAAAAUAUUUGAAUGUUUCAUAUUGCAUAAUCGUGUGGAAUAUUUUUUUAUUUUGUCUUGAUUUAUUUCAGUUUAAAAGAAAUAUAAUUGAUGUAAUUAUUGGGGCUUAAUUUAAUUUCAAAAUUAUGUUAUUAUUUGGCCUGAUUUUAGUUGAAAUUGAUUUUAUUAUUGGGCUGAAUAUAAGUUUAAAUGGAUUUGAUUUUCGGGCCUGAAUUUAAGCUGAGUUUACAUUGGGCCUUAUUUUAGACGUAUUGGAUCCAAGCUAAAUGGGUCUCAUUGAAACCAUUACUGGACAAAAACCUAUGUCUCGGGUCCAUAAUCAUCCGAAAAUUAAAGCGCCCAAAAUAAAUGCCUCGUAUUAUUUAAUAUUAAAUUCUCUUUCUUUUCAAAUACUCUCUUAUUCUCUAAUAUUAAAUUACCCAUCUUAUUAAAUUCUCCCUGUUAUAUCCAGUGAGGAUAUGACAACCGCCUAUGCGCCAGUUGACUGCCAUACCCUAAAAACCACUCUCACAUCCAUUCUCCAUCUUUCUACUAUAAGUAAUCUCAUGUUUCACGGGUUAAGCGAAGGGGGAAAAAAAGGAAUAUCAAAUGGAUGUUGCAGAACAGAUCACUUGAUGAAGGAGAUGGCUUCAAACUUAAAUAGACUCAUUAGAGUAUGCUGAUUUGUUUCUUCUUCAUGCAUAUUCUUAAAUUUGCAGACUCUGCGUCCCUCUUCAACAAGUUCAUUUUUGGAAAGUAAAUAUUGGAACUGGCCGAUAAGCCCUGCAAAAGCAGGGGUCGGCAACUGUCUUUUCGAACGAUGAUCUUGUCCCCUUUCCUAAUCAAAUAGUAACGAAUAGAAAACCCUUUCGAGGAAGUGAGAAGAGUAUCUUUCGCUAUUAUAGCUCGUUAAUAAUUCAGAUUUUUUGUUAAUUCUCCUUGGAUUGGUGCAAGGAUCAUUCUUUCUCUUUGUCCUUAAUGUUCUCUGUUUAUGGGACGUUGAAUUCCUGUUGAAGGCUAACAGGAUGUUGACCAGUCUAUUUGAUACUUUCAGCCGUUUAUCUUUUUGUGCGGGAAACAGCACGGUGAAUGUCUAAAAUAACUGCACUUUAUCUUGAUUUACGUUAAUAGUAGCCUUCAUGAACUGGUAGCUAAAGCUGAAGUGAACUCCUUGAAGGACUCGGACGCGUACGAAAGUUCCAACUAGGAGAAGAUGCUAAACACGGAGUAGCCUCGGAGUGAUGCAGCAGCCUGUGGUUUAAAUUGUUGCCAAGCCGGCAAGUGCUUUAAGAGGUAGGGCAAAUUCCUGAACCCUCUCCAUCUUUCUCAUACUCUUCCCAACUUUCCUAUUUCGGUAUAUUUAACGGUGAAAACGCGUGGUUCUACCGUACUGCAGGGGGCCUUCGUGAGAACCGAGAGUUUGUUUAUUCGGCACUACGAGGUUGCAGUGCUCCUUUAUUCCAUAGGAUUUAUUCGGGGGGGGGGCAGUCAGUACAGGAUCAGAGCACUAACUGGCUUCUUUAUACCUUUUUGUGUCCUUAGAGGGUAUAGAUAACCUCGUGCUAACCCUAAGAACAGACAGAGAGAGAAAUAGACUAACCGCUAUUCCGACCUGCGCCCAUUCCACUGCCCUGGCCGUCUUCCCCCUUUCUCUUCCCGCACGAUCCUUCGUGCAACCCCUUUUCCGCUCACCGUUUAGGGUUUAAAGAAGCCCUAGUUUGUAUUAUCACGAACCGCUGGAUCAAACAGGUCCGGUUCAGCCAAGCCAAGCCGCUCACACCUAUCCAGCCCGAAUCUGCUCGAGCCACAUCGUCCGAGUCUAACUGCCGCCGGUUCAUACCACAGUGGACCAUUUAGUCCGAAUCACCCUGUCAGCCCGACCCAUUUAGGCUGCCUACUCUGAAGCAAUCACCUCACCUGGUUCGAGUAAGGCUGCCUAGUCAACCAGGUUAACAGGUCAACAUCAAUAAUUGCUUAAGGUCAACACUUGGUCAACGGUGAACAUCAGGGUAACUAUUCACAGGUAGGUUCUAGCAACCUGAGUUUCUCCACCACACAGUCACCUAUUAUGAUGAUAAGGUUAUCUCUAAACAUUUUUCAUUUUCCAUAUUAGAGUAUUUUGUUCCCUUAGUAUUUUGUUGUGCAACAUUGUUGUUGUAUGAUUCAUAGAUUAAGUCAUUCAAUUUUAUGUUUGGUGGUUAAUGAGGAGUUAUAACCUACUUAAUUUGCGUCUAAUUGAUUUAUUGAUUUUACAGUAGCAUAAUCUUUGAUGAUUUCUUAAUUGUGACAAUACAUUUGUUUUAAAUCUUGUACGAUUUCACUUUAUCUUAUCCUAGGAGACCUUGUCAAGUUACUAGAGCCAUCAUUAGAGUCAAGUGUAGGUCGUGUCUAGGGUGACAUAGUCUUUUCAUCAUAGUAUCUUGCAUCAGUAGUUGGAGCUGUCAAGCCUGAUCUGGGUGCAGAUGGAAAGUUUGAUGUUGACCCCUUGAAUUGUUCCUGAGGGGAAAUAUCUGUGGAACGACAGGAUGCUUUGAGACACGAGGGCUAAGAUAUUAUCCACAUAUACCAUUGUGUCAGUGACAUGUAUGUCAUACUAUGAUGCUAUUCGCCAGAUAAAGCAUUGACUUUUCUGCACUACUAUGGAAUCACGAUUGAUUCAAGAGAUGCCAUUCAUAUAUAUAGGUAAAGUUGUAAUUUUUUGCUCCUUACAUCUUUAGUGGGCAUUAAUGAUGGGGAAGAAAUCUCUCAUGGUUGAGCAACAAAAAGCUAGAAAAAUCACUAGAAUGAAUCUUUAUCACGAGCUAUGUGCAGAUUUUCUACUAAUGGGCUGUUCAUAACUUUUUUUAAUCAAAGUUUUCCACUUAAGCUGUUGAUACCUUCAAUUCUCUUUUGAAAGUUCAAACCGUCAAGUGAAAUGACAUAUAAAUAUUAGUGUAACAAUAAAUCUCAAUUGUAUCUUUAUUUCUCCUCUAACAUGGCCAAUAGUAGUGGAAUAUCUUGGAAAUAUGCAAGAACGGUGCUUAGCGUUAAAUUUAGUUCUCUCACUAUUCUAUCCAAAACUAUAGUUAGGGAAAUAAUAAAUAACGAGAUUGACAUAAUGCACAUAUUUAUGUAACCAAAUGUGUUAUGGCAUAUUGAGUUGCAAUGCUGUAGAAGUUAACUAGCCUAUGAAAUAACAUGUGUUUGCCUACUCAUCUCAAAAUUGAUUUUAAAUAUACAUAGUUUUUUUUUAAUCGAUGAUCAAUAAGAUAAAUCAAAGCAUUCCCUACAAGAAAAGAACCAAAACCCAUGCUCGAAAUUGAUUGACAAGUCGUCAAAGAAACUCAAUUGUGACACCAUUUGGAUACUAUAUGACACAUGAACAGUUCAUAGAUAUUCUCAUCAAAAGAUUAAGUAGAUUACCCUUUUAGAAGCUCACAUCCAAGUUGAAAUUAGACAACAUCCGUUCACCAACUUGAUGAGGAACGUCACAGAAUCAGAACUGACAAUUAUACUGUAAUCAUUAUUAUUUUUGAAUAUGUCCUUUUUUCGUAAUAAUGUCACUUCUAUUCACGGGUGAAUCAGAUUUGGUUUCAGCACCGGCGAGGGUGAAGAAAUUCAACCUCGUUCGGUCAGGUCUUCUUCGCUAUAGACGCCACCAAGAACAAGAAAGAGGCUCUCCGCUCCUAGUCAAUAAGUAGUGCUUGUCCUCCGGGUUCCAAGUUUUAUCUCACGUCAUUUCGUUUCGCCUGCUCCAGCAAAGUCUCCUUUUCUAGAACUUGCAAAAUAUAUUCUUAAAAUUUGGGAUAGCAUAUUGAAAAUAAGAGUCUUUUGGACUUUGGGUUCCCCAUAAAUGAAGAGUUGCUUGGUUUUAAUGGGUCUUCUAAAAACUACUUGACACGCUAUCCAAUCCAAAAGUACAUACUUUUCUUUCAGAUAUUCAGGGGAGUACUCCUUAGGCCAAUCAUGUUUUAAUAAAAAAUCCAUGAUUCUUCCACCCAAAGUGGUUUUCAGUCUUUUAAAUACUCGAAAUCAUCUGUCUAUCUCUCUCUUUCUUUCUCUCUCACUUCCCCUCUCUUCCUCGCUCACCUCCUCUCUCUGUCUCCCCCCUUCUCUCUCCAUUCCUCUCCCUUCUCUCUCUCUCUCUCUCACUUCCUCUCUCUUUCUCUCUUUCUCACCCUCUAUCACUUCCUCUCUCUUUCUCACCCUCUAUCACUUCCUCUCUCUUUCUCUCUUUCUCACCCUCUAUCACUUCCUCUCUCUCUCUCAUAAGCGAGGGCAAACCUCAGGCAACCUUGAAACGGGGAGGCAUCGUAGAGAGGAGGGAGUGGGAGCGGCGUUUGUUUCGACGGCGUCUAUUUUGACGGCGCGGUGGAAGAGAGGGACGACAUUCGAUCUGAGUGCACGUUGGCCAGGCAUAGGCGCCAGAGCUCACACACCGUCCACGCGGGCGCCAGGGGCAGCUUGCGUCACCUGGACGUCAUCCUCCUAAAAAGGGUUACUUUUCUAAAUAUGCCAAAAUACGGAUAAGCAUGCGAAAAUCUGCUUUAUUAAUUUUUAUUGAUGAAAUUAUGAAUUUAAUGCAUUAUAUUCGAAUUUAGGUGACCCUAAUGAAAAUUACUUACUUAAUUAAUCAUAUCGAAAAUAAUUGGCCCAAAAAUAAAAUCAACGAUUUAAUAAACGUGGAGUCUUGAAUUAUUCGCAUGAAACACAUGAAAAUCUUUCUCCUCUUGGCUUCCGCCACGUGGAAAUCGCCGCCCCCUCUCUGGAACGUUCCGACGGUGGCGGGAAGCCGGUCGAGCGGGAAUGAUCGGCCCUCUGAAUCCCGGGCCAUUCCAGGCGUCCUUUGAGAAGCACGGGCACACCCCAAGUUCCAGGGGGUGCUUAGUUAAUGGGCCUUUAAGGCCCAAAAUCUACUAUUGGGCCCAUAUUUAAUGGGCUUUUAUUAUUGACCCUCAUCACUAAGAAUCACCUGGGGUUAUGUAUUUUAAUGGGCCUUAUUAUCUAGUGGGCCUUCAGACGAUACCCCACACGGGUCUGUGAGCCGAGUCCACAAGUACCAUAAAAAGGGGGUUUGAAUAUUUUUACGGUUUCUAGGGCGUAAAAAAAUAAUUCCAGGAGUUUUGGAAAAGUAAAUAAUUUUAGAGGGGCUGAUGAGUCAGCUGCCUCCUCGGGCCGCAGCCGCCGUUUCUAGGACCGACCGACGCCUAACCUGCACAGGUACCUACAUUGUGCAGUAUGAGCCGCACAUUCAACAUAGCGUUCGGACUCAUGUGCCUUCCAGAACCAGGGGCAGGCCUAGUCCCGCCCAAACAGAAAAAGGGCUAAGAAUCCCCAUUUUAAGCUUGAAGGGGGAAGGAUAACCCAUGCUUCUAGUUCGCGAGUCGAGCUCGCUCUCUGGCCAAAAAAAAAUUCGAUUAAAAUAGGAAGAGGACCUGGGAACGAGCCAUUCAGGCGGUUAGGGGUGUCCCCCAGUGACUUGUUGCUGUUAAAAGAGAAAAGCACUAAACUAGCCCGAGUGGUUGAAUGCCUAAUUAUUCAGUCAAUUGAGAACCGAAUGAGCAGUAUAUGAGUUUAUAACAGAACAGAGAAGCCAUCUCAUCUAAUCUAACACUCCGCCAGAGAAAGGUUUCCGUCCCAUAGAAGCUAAAAAUGGCCUUAUACGUCGAUUGACUUCGUCAAAUGGGGGACUCUAUUCCGUCGCUUGCAGGUAAGGUAACCCGAAAAAUAUAUGUAUCGAACUCUUAAUGAGUUUAAUUGAAAUAUUUUGACUUUUACCUUUCUCUCUCUUCCCUCACGAGCCAACGGUUCUCUCACCACCGGUAGCGCCCCCUCUGACAAGCAGCGACCUCAGUAGCAUUGACACUUCGCCAAUCCCGUGGCUACAGAUUUCCCACUCUCCUUUAACAGAAGAUGUGACGACCAUCAGCAAACUGCGGCAGAAAUCUAAUUUGCUGACAGAGCUCUAUUACGAGUUCUGCGGGAGAAAGUGUAGAGAAUAAGUAAACAGCUUGUGGCGCUGUUGGUUUUUAUAGUCCAGAUGAAAUGUCAUAAGCGCUAUGUUUACCUGUAGCCAGUCAGUGAUUUCUGCAAGGCCUGACCCAGAUACAGAAAUAAGUUCGAGUAAAUGAGCAAUUCACCGUCCCCCAGGUAGGUAACAACGUGACGAUUAUUCGGAAUGAACAGUGACAGCAGGCGGCAGCAGAUUACAAACCUCAUCAAUGUUAAGGCGUAGGAAAGCCUGCCACCACUCACCACUAUGAUGCUAUUCGCUAGAUAAAAGAGUUGAGUUUUCUGCACUACUGUGGAAUCACGAUUGGUUCAAGAGAUGCCAUCCGUAUAUACAGGUAAAGUUGUGAUCUUUUGCUCCUUACAUCUUCAGUGGGCAUUAAUGAUGGGGAAGAAAUCUCGCAUGGUUGAGCAACAAAAAGCUAGAAAAUUCAAUAGAAUGAAUCUUAAUCACAGGCUAUAUACAGAUUUUCUACUAAUGGCUUGGUCAUAACUUUUUUUCAUCACAGUUUUCCAAUUAAGCUGUAGAUACCUUCAAUUCUCUUUGGAAAGUUCAAACCGUCAAGUGAAAUGACAUGUAAAUACUAGUGUAACAAUAAAUCUUAAUUGUAUCUCUAUUUCUCCUCUAACAUGGCCUAUAGUAGUAGAAUAUCCUGAAAAUAUGCAAGAACGGAGCUUAGCGUUAAAUCUAGUUCUCUCAGAAUUCUAUCCAAAACCAAAUGUAGGGCAAUAAGAAAUAACGAGAUUGACAUAAUGCACUUAUUUAUGUAACCAACGGUGUUAUGGCAUCUUGAUCCAUAAUUUUUUUUAAUCAAUGAUCAAUAAAAUAAAUCAAAGCAUUCCCUACAAGAAAACUUAUGCUCCAAAAUGAACCAAAACCCAUGUUCGAAAUUGAUUGACAAGUCAUCAAAGAAAAACUCAAUUGUUACACCAUUUGCAUACUAUAUAACACAUGAAUAAUUCAUAGAUAUUCUCAUCAAAAGAUUAAGUAGAUUACCCUUUUACAAGCUCACAUCCAAGUUGAAAUUAGACAACAUCCGUUCACCAGCUUGAUGAGGAACGUCAUAGAAUCAGAACUGACAAUUAUACUAUAAUCAUAAUUGUUUUUUGUAUAUGUCCAUUUUUUGUAGUAAUGUCACUUCUAUUCACCGGUGAAUUAGAUCUGACUUCAGCCCAAGAAAAUUAAUUGGAUCCAACCUACUAGGUUUAGGUUUGGACUGAUAUAAAUAUAUGACUAACGGUAGCGCUCCCUCUGACAAGCAGCGACCUCAGCAGCAUUGACACUUAGACAAUCCCGUGGCUACAGAUUUCCCGCUCUGCUUUAUUAGAAGAUGUGACGACCAUCAGCAAACUGCGGCCGAAAUCUAAUCUGCUGAGUGAGCUCUAUUACGAGUUCUGCGGGAGAAAGUGUAGAGAAUAAGUAAACAGCUUGUUGUGCUGUUGGAGUAGUCCAGAUGAAAUGUCAUAAGCGCUAUGUUUACCUGUAGCCAGUCAGUGAUGUCUGCAAGGCCUGACCCAGACGCAGAGAUAAGUUCGAAUAAAUGAGCAGUUCACCAUCCCACAGGUAGGCAAGGUUGGAGAACGUGACGAUUAUUUCGAAUGAACAGUGACAGGAGGCGGCAGCAGAUUACAAACCUCAUCAAUGUUAAGGCGUAGGAAAGCCUGCCACCACUCAUCACCAAGUUUGUAAAUUUUCAAUGAAGUUGGUCGCGAAAGUCAUAAAUUCUCUAUCGCUUUUAAUAUCCUUGUAUGAGUUGGUUUUGCAUCAGGUACAACCUGGGUUAACAACAUCUUUUGCAGUAUGGUUGAAAUUCUUUUUGGGUUAGCCAACAUCAAGUAUCGAGACAUGAUUUGCAUAUCAUCUGUACUGCUAACCAUGACUAAUCUUUUUAGGCAGCUGGAUUUAAUCUAGUGGAAUGAGCGGUCUCUGAAAGACAGAAACGGUCCAUUUGCCGACCAAUUCUGACAUAUGAAAACAGCCCAAUAAUGGGCAGAUUUGAAUCCCCAGGUGGAAGUGGAAACGGUCUUAACGAGUGGGUUGACUAUUUCUUACGGAAACGGUCCAUAAUUACAAGAACGAAGGGCAUGUUCGAAAAUAAAGAAUGAUUCAUUGAGGGAUUCGCGGCACUAAGAGGCCUCCUUACCCCUUAUUUUGUGUCCCAUUUAAAAAGUUUCUAGUAAGGUUAUAAGGUAAAGAUCUAAGGUUAGCUUUGGUGGGAGCCUUGAAGGCUAAUACUAAGAAUUUGUUCUAUCGGUUUUUGGUGAGAAAUCUCUUAUAAAUGUUUCACAUCUGAUGAAGCUUUCAUUUUCAGUGACCUUGGAAGGGCGCCGAUCACCAAACCACAUCAAAUUUCCUAGUGUUGGUGCUUUUGUUGUUUGUUGAUUAUUCUUCCUCUUUCCUAAUUCGUGUUCUUCAGUACAUUUUGCAAGUCUAAGUUGCCGUUUAGUCUAGUAACUUUCUAACCGUACACAGUGCCCUAUAAAGACAGUGAAAAUAGACUACAUUCAUUUAUGUCAAUUCUGAGUGACAAAAUGGAUAAAAGUUAAAACCAAAAAAUGAAUCUAUUUGUUGGCAAAGAGCCUGAAUGAGACUUUAUACCUUUUCAAACUAUACGUUUGAGCUUCCAUACAUAACAUAUUUGUGUUAGGGAAUGUACAGUCCUGAGGCCUUUAAAACUAAAGCUUUUGCUCUUCAUUAGUCCAAUUGUCUACUAUCCGUAUAAAAUAUAGAGCCUUGUUAAGCUCCUAUUUGACAAUGUUAGCCUUUACCCUCUUAUACAAUAAGCUAAAACUAAUCCAGCCAUUAAAUUUUGCUUACUCAGUAAUGAUUUUCUCAGGUUUGUUACAAUUUUGAAUUGACAUCCUAGAGAAAUCCAAAUGGGAUCACCUUUUAACCUUCUCGAAUGGCUCAUAUUGCAUAUUAAUAUAAAACAGCUUUGGCUCUCAUAAUUGUCUAAUGAGCCACAUCUUGAAGAUAUUUUGAAAGACACCCAAUUAGGUGAAAAUUCAUAAAAUUUUCAACCCUAUUGGGCUAGUAAAACAUGCCUUAGGCAGGACUAACCUAAGAAAUUUAUGAAAUGAACUGUGGUAUGUAAGUAUCAAAACGAACCUUAUUAAAUUGAUGCGGGCUAGAGUACAAAUGGUAGAACCCUAAAGAUUUGUCAGAGUUUUUCAAAAGAAGAGAACAUCAUUGUAGUCAAAAAUCUCUUGCAAUAAUAAAACUAAAGGAUCAAGCGGUUUAAGAAAUCUGCUGAUUAGGGUACCUAGAUUUAAUAGAUCAAAUAAAGUUUAAUCAGGGGGAAUGAUCAGCCAAAUAUAAAAAGGUAGCUAUCCUAUUGUUCCCUCAAGCAACCAUGACAAGAGAAUAUACUUAAAAAACAAAUGACUAGGUAGCUGAUAGGAAAAGUUCAGAAAUUAUACUUGAGCUUUGGCAGGAUUCCUAAAUUCCUAAAGUUGAUCAUUGACUUUUUUGACCAUUGACCAUUGACCAUUGACCAUGUAAACCAGGCCAUCAGCUGCAGCAGUUCAUAGUUGAAGGGGCUGACUAGUUUUGGUCGGGAUGGCCAGAUGACUCACACCAAACUAUUUUGGCCACGACCAGUUCGACAAGGAUAGUGGCAGUGGGCCGGCUGAAGUGGACUAGGGAACAUGAGGCCAAGGAAUGAAAUAACCUUAGCUUUAGAUGUGGCGAUAUCUAGAGGGAAAUGGGAGAGGUGGCGACAGAGAGAGGUGAGAGUGGAGGCCGGUAGCAAGUAGUGGUGUGAUGACCGUGAGGUGGUGGUCAACAGUGGCGAUGGCAGUGGUAGCAGUGAUAUAAUGAGGCCGACAGUGGUGGGCAACGAAGUGGGGACGAUGGCUAAUGGUGAUGGCUGCUGGAGGGGGUUGCCGGUGGUAGAGAGGGUGAUGGACAAGCAGCAACAGCAAAAGGGAAGGUGAUGACGAUGACAAUAGCAGGUGAUGGUGGUACUGUUGGUGUAGGUAGUGGUGCCUGGCGGUGAUAGAAGAGAAAGAAAGGAGGGGGAAGGGUGCUCCAAACUGGGAGCAGCAGGGUUCCCUGACCAAACCAAGCGAGGGCGACAAGAUCUCAUGAUUAGGUAAGGAAUAAAUUCUUCAUCUCAUUCACUGCCAAGCUAAAGGUUUGAAGGCUGAUUAAUAGGCCUCUCUAUGCAAAAUAAUAGUAAGUUAAUAAUGAAGGAAACCUUCUAUUGUAAGACGUUUUGUUUUGCAGCAUGGGUGACCAAUAGCUAGAUCAAGGGCAAUGUCCCCACCUUCUACAAUAGUUCUUCCCUCAAUUUAAUUGGAUCCUUUCUUAUUUGAAGGGCUGUUGAGGUGUGCUUCAUGGAGGGUACUAUUCUCACCUUCUUUGUCUAUCAUUUCCUUACUUUUAUUCGAAUCACCUUCCUUAGUUGAUGAACUCUUAAAGUAUGCUGCAUCAUGAACAGUAUCACUUCAUGGGCCACUUCCUAUCAAGACAUCUAAAUCAUGACAACCUUAAAAGCUUUUUUAAUAGUCCCCAUCUCAGUUUGCUAUAAAAUGUGCUUUUUUAUGAAUGAAAAUGGAUUUUCCCUGUAGCAUUUUUAUAGAGAUUUCAUAACCUUGUCUUCCAAAUAGCCAUGUUCUCAUAAAGCGUCAAAGAUGGCCUUGAAAAAGCCAGUUCGUAAGUUAAUCUAAAUAAUAGAACAUGGACUUAUACCAACGUUUUAGGACAGAUCCUUUUCCUUCAGUUGGGGUGGUUGAUAAUGCACUGGACUGGAACUCAUUUCUGUGGAGAAGGACAAUUUUUACCCACCGGCUUCUCCUAGAAUGUUUCCUAUUUGUAGCUGCGUAGGAUGUUAACAAGGGACAUUGCUAUUGAUCUGCCUUUCGGUAUCAGUGCAUACUUUCUUGUGCCACUUAUCAUUUAGUGUAUCUUGGUAAUAAUGGAUUCUCAGAUUCUCUUCUCUAUGUUAGAUUUCAUGUUGGGAGAUUGGCUGCUGAGAUGCUUCUUCCGGCAGACGGUAUGUCAUGUCCAUAUCUUGUUCAUUUCUUUAACAGAAAAAUGGUUAAAAUAGUACAUUUAAAUCACAAGGAAGAAUUUAUAACAGAAAAAAUUUUAUUUUCUUCAAUGGUUUCAUAGGCGAUUUAAAAAUUACUAAUUCACAAUAAUAGCAUCAAUCUUGAUUGUUGUAAUCUUUGUUCUUCAAACAAUUCAACAAUUAAGUUAUGAUUUAUGUCGAAAUAAUUUCGCAUCGCGGCAGCUGCCAUGACAAAGAGGAAAACGGCAACCGCCGCAGUGACUUGGAUCCGACAGCUACUGCGGAUAGUAAGAUGAAGACUGUUGGAGGUCUUGAGGUUUACGGUACUGAACGAUAAGGGAAAGCAAACGAAGCUCUGGUUGAGCAUUGAGGAGGCCCUUGACUUCGUCUCCAUAGAACUAAUUGGAGUAGGACGGAGCGAAACCGGGAAUUCAGAUGAACUGUGACACGACUGAUAGGAACCUUGACAACAUGGCACACAUUGGUUGGCUUUCUGUCGACGUUGAUUAACUAAAAAGGUG